AAUAUCAAAGGUGAGCCAGUACAGGAUGGACCCGCGUCUGAUUAGCUAGUUGGUAAGGUAACGGCUUACCAAGGCGACGAUCAGUAGCCGACCUGAGAGGGUGAUCGGCCACAUUGGAACUGAGCCACGGUCCAAACUCCUACGGGAGGCAGCAG
Molecule: ribosomal RNA, 155 nt
Filed under: Clostridioides difficile
Lineage: Bacteria; Bacillati; Bacillota; Clostridia; Peptostreptococcales; Peptostreptococcaceae
Description: partial 16S ribosomal RNA
Rfam family: Bacterial small subunit ribosomal RNA
Source: RNAcentral